RNAcentral lists this long non-coding RNA (209 nucleotides) under Prunus dulcis (almond). RNAcentral describes it as "sRNA ncRNA". Lineage: Eukaryota; Viridiplantae; Streptophyta; Magnoliopsida; Rosales; Rosaceae. The record is from RNAcentral.
AUGGAUGGAAUGGAUACAACUACGGGUCAGCUUAGUCAAAUCUUCUUGAGCCGAAAAUUAGGUUUCUCUACCCUAAACGCAGUGAUAUGCUCCGAUUUCAUGGUUUCCUUCAACAACUCACUAGAAUUCUCUCACAUAUUAUUCUUAGCUAAAUUAAUUCACGAAAUGACUAGAUUGACUUUUUUUCUUUGAUUUUCAAUGUACGUUAA